AUUGGUAUUCGGCCCCAUGAAGGUGUUGAGGCCGACACUUGCGGGCUGCAGUUCGAC
Molecule: small RNA, 57 nt
Filed under: Sinorhizobium meliloti 2011
Lineage: Bacteria; Pseudomonadati; Pseudomonadota; Alphaproteobacteria; Hyphomicrobiales; Rhizobiaceae
Description: putative ncRNA
Source: RNAcentral